CCGCCACGGUGACUUGCAAGCAACUCACUGCACUUAGGCACUGGACUACCUGAAUUUUUAAUUCAGUGGCGGAAGGCUGCUGGGUGUAGUCAAGUACUUGACUUGUCGGUGCGUGUGUCAAAAUGGGAUUGACCACUCCAGUUUAGGAGCUGUGUACAGUCGUGUUUCAAUUUAGCAAAACCUUGGCCAGGGUAGUCCUUGUGAGGAGUCACAGGAUUGUUUGAGUUGAGCAUGAUUCGGAUGAUCCGAUCAGGGUUGACAGUUUAACCCUGACUCAUCCUAAACACUGGGGUCAAAAGGAUGAAUUAUACAGUAACCAUAUUCAUGUAGGUUCUGAGUGUUGCGAUUGUGACUCUUCGACCUAUCCGGACGUCGGGUACCAUUGCUAGAUGGUCACUUCGAUUAGUAAAGGAAUUGGUUCCUGUGCUACCGGCUUAGGUUCGAACCUGUGGGGUCACACACAUUAGAGGUUCUUAUCUGAUCUGAUGGCUGAUGUAGAAUCCUACAUAUUUGAGAC
RNAcentral lists this long non-coding RNA (517 nucleotides) under Elaeis guineensis (African oil palm). Its description in RNAcentral is "long non-coding RNA (EGUI_LNC070618)". Lineage: Eukaryota; Viridiplantae; Streptophyta; Magnoliopsida; Arecales; Arecaceae. The record is from RNAcentral.